GAAAAGGUGGUAGAAGCCUGGGCAGUUGAUGUGAAAAAGGUGAUUGGUUCAGAAGUCUGAAAGCAGUGGGGAAGAAGCUGUUCUUGAGUCUGAUCAUCUGUCAUUUCAAUCAAGCUCCUCUUUCUUAUCCCAGAAGGUAGAAGAGAGGAAAGGGAAUGGCCAGGGUGGCAGACGUCAUUGAAGAUACUGUCGGCCUUUCUGAAGCAAUGCACCAUGAAGAUUCACAGGAGGAUUCAAAAUAAAUUUGUUAUCAAAGUACAUAUAUGUCAACAUAUACCACCUAAGAUUCAUUUUCUUGCAGGCAUUCCCAGUAGAACAAAGAAGUACAAUAGAAUCAAUAGGAAACUACACGUAAAGACUGACAAACAUGCAAUGUGCAAAAGAAAAACUCAAGUAAUAAAGCUGGAUUGGAUGGUAGGACGUGACAAGCCUGUGAUGGGCUGGGCAGUGUCUGCCACUCUCUGCAGGUUCUGGCGGUCCUGAACGUCCUUCCUGGUUGAUUGCUCAGCCACCACAGAUGGGCGCCUUUCAACAUGUACAGGAUUGUUCUGACGCAGCCUCCUUUCUCGUCUCCUGAGACCUGUUAGCAAGUGCAUCUCUCCCUCUCUCUUUCACAAACAUUUCUGUUUGCUCUAUUAAAAUGAUUAUCAGCAGCACUCCCUUGGAGCUUAGAUGUUCUGAUUACAAACACACAAUGAAGGAAGCAAUAAUCUAAUUCGGUUGAUUGAUGUCAGGUAGGUUUGCAUCAUUUGAUUAGCCCAAUAGGAAAUCUUCUGUAAUGAUUCAAUGCCGACGUCUGCUAGACAACUUGGUGGGGAGCAAUCCUACUCAGAAUAUCAUCAAGCCUGUUCCAGUAAAUGAAUCGAAAAGGCAACGCCAGUGUUUUACAAUAUCCUUGCCUGCAACAAUUGACAGGCAAAUCACUGUCAUCUGUGCUGACCAACUGCUCAUCUGCAGCUCUUGACCCGCUUGUGAAGGAUAAUGUUAAGCAGUUUUGCAGGCAAGAGAUUGAAGUGCCCUUGCAUUGAUUUACAGGAGUGUGCAAUUGCAUUACAGCAAUCAACUCUCAGGAAUUCAACAAAGGCAAGGCGAUUGGCUCAAGUCAGCGGGAACAAGGGACUUUGAUCAGUUCGUGGAUUUCCUGACAAGAAACUACGGCAAAGGAACUACAGAUACCAAAAAGAAACUCCAGCGUGGAAUCAUGAAUUUAAAUCAAUCCAAAUGUCCUGAUGAAAUUGUGACAAUUCCUUUCCUCCCUGAUGGUGCUUAACCCACUGAGUUCCUGCAGCAUUGUUCCCUAAAAUGCCCAUCCUCUAGAUCCACAAUAAUUCACAGAAUGCAAGAGCAAUCCAGCAAAGAAGAGAAAGGAAAGAGGCAUUUAAAUUUCCAAUGCCUGGAGGUUCUACACUUGCUUCAUACUAAUGGAUGAAUAUGAGAAUGCGCACUCUUAAUAACACAAUGAUUAGUAACAGUUCCUGACAACUGAUUCCGUGCAAAUUACACUGGUUUUAGGCCAAAAGCAUUGAUGGGUUGUACUAUGAAGAAUUAUCUGAAAAAUAAUGGACCGAAUUAAAAACAUCUAUUAGUUUGUCAAUUGGAAUCAUUUUAAACGGGCGUCAUGAAAGAAAUCAAAAUAUUUUGAAGGAGGGCGAAUCUUAAAAUUAGUCAGCUCCAUCGUGGGUACUAGCCUCCGUAGUAUCCAAGACAUCUUCGAGGAGUGGUACCACAGGAAGGGGGUGUCCAUCGUUAAGGACCCCCACCACCCAGGACAUGCACUCUUCUCACUGUUACCAUCAGGCAGGAGAGACAGAAGCCUGAAGAUACACACUUAAGGAUUUAGGAACAGCUUCUCCCCCACAGUUGUCAGGUUUCUAAAGGGAUAUUGAACCCAUGAACUCAGCACUUUCUUUUUUAUUUAUUUCUGUUUUAGCACUACUAAUUUAACACAACUAUUUAAUAUACAUGUAUAAACUUAUUGUAAUUCCUAUUUCCUUCUAUAUUUAUCAUGUAUUGUGUUGUACUACCGCUGCAAAGUUAACAAAAUCCAUGACACAUGCUAGUGGAUAGUAAACCUGAUUCUUGUAUCCCCACUUCAGUGAUAUCUAUUUCUCAUUCUGUUCAGCUUAGUUGCUGAUGAAACCCUAGAGCAUUUGUUAACUUCCCAUUUGAUUUUUGUUUUCACUGCACUCAUCACAAAUCUCUCAUCAUCCA
Molecule: long non-coding RNA, 2211 nt
Organism: Hypanus sabinus (Atlantic stingray)
Lineage: Eukaryota; Metazoa; Chordata; Chondrichthyes; Myliobatiformes; Dasyatidae
Exons: 3
Source: RefSeq, a predicted model, not a curated record